AUAAUAUAGGCCUUGUACUACUCAUUAAACAAAACUUAUAACAUGAUUUUUGAUUAAAACUAAAAUUUUUCAAGCCCUUUUGAUUUAAUUUUUUUUUUUUUAACUGUUUAGUUUUUAGUUUUGUCUAAUUUUUGUGGUCUGCUUUAUAGGGUUUCGUUAUCUUUCAUUGCAGUGGACGGAUACCUAAAGUAGCUUUGAUGGCACGAUCUUACCUACCAAGCAAGGUUUCAGAGAUAGUUUCAAUUUGGAGAAAUGACCUGAACAAGGUCAAUAAAAAAGCUGCAGAAUCAUUGGCCGAUCCGCAAGUGUGUCCUAAUUUGUUUGAGGACUGGGGCAUUCAUCCUCCUGUUGACGUAGUGUUGAUGUACUGAUUUUCUGGGAUUUUUUUGUCCUUGCAGGAUUUUUGGUCUUUGAAAUGGGUACAUGUUGUUUUUAACGUUUUGGUUCUCGUGUGUUCCGCUCUUCGUUGCUUCGUGAUUCUGAUUUUUCAGUGUUGGGUAAUGGAAAUUUGUAAAAAUAGUCGUAGUUUUUUGAGAAAGUUGGCAUUUUUAGUUAUAUUUUCUGUUUAAUCCCAACUGUGAGAUUGGAAAAUAAUUGAAAUGAUGGUUUUGUAUAAAAACACCUCUCAAUUUUUUUUCUGGGAUUUAAAAGCAUCUUUUCCCGAUUGUUUACAAGGGUUAUGUUCUCUAUAAUUGGUUCACCUAAUUUUGAUUAGUUUUAAGUUUUGUCUUCUGUGCUGUACUGAGAGAUUUCUGUUGGCCUUUCGGAUUUCGGCAUGGUAAUGUUCACUUAUUUGUCUAAUUAGAUUGCAUAUGGCUUCGAUUCUUUAUUUAAUUGUUCUGUUUGUGUUCGGGAGUGAUGAUCUAAAUUUUAUAUGUUUGGAAUUAUUCACUUAACACCAAUUUGUUACAUUCAGGUCUCCACCCCACAUUUCACAAGUUCAAAUUCCAUAGAAGUCGGUUCUGCAGAUUGUGUCUGCAAUUAGAUCAGAGAUCAACUGCUCUUUUGUUAUCAUGCGGAAGAUUGCUUUUGGGAAGGAUCUGAAGCAGUUCCUCUC
Molecule: RNA transcript, 1057 nt
Organism: Pyrus x bretschneideri (Chinese white pear)
Lineage: Eukaryota; Viridiplantae; Streptophyta; Magnoliopsida; Rosales; Rosaceae
Gene name: coatomer subunit beta'-1-like
Exons: 4
Source: RefSeq, a predicted model, not a curated record